UUCCCCAGAAGCUGGCUGGACAACUUGCACUUUCCAAGAGGGGUUUAUCCUGCACCAGAUCUCUCUCCCUGACCUGACCUGGUGGUCAAAAGCCUUGACAGUGGGACCGGCUUCUGAGGAAUAUAUAUAUAUAUGGUCAUUGUGGGGGUAUUACAGGACUGGCUGGAGCGGAUUGUGCCUGGAGUCACAGAAGAGAAACAAUUGGGUGAAAUUCACAAGAAAGGCUCAGCUGCAAUUUGGAAGAUUAUUCAGCUUUCAAAGGAAAUUUGCAGAGAAUGUUCCGAUGUAAGGAAGCCUCUGUUGGUUUCCUUGCGUGCCAUUUGAAGAGCGUGUUGGUGGAGAGGCAGCCUUCAAAGCAAGCGGGACGUCAACAUGUUUGAAGCCAGUUUUAUAUUUAGGCUGCCUCUUGCUGGCGUUCGAUCACAGAGCUGCGCCUGCACGGACCGACUGCCAAAGUAGCAACCCUGGAGGAGGCUUCCUUUUGCAGCACCAUCCGGACCUGCCAGAGCAUGCUUAGGCAGCCUUUUUUUGCUUCGUGUUUUUGAACUUUAAUCUUGAUUUCUGAACUUUUGAUUGACAGGCCGUUGUCAGUGGCACCCUAGAUCCAAACAUCACGUGACAUAAUUGAAGAUUAAAUCAGGACAAAUGGUGGGAAUGAGCUUGGCUCAUUCCUAUCAUUGCGAGACAGAGAAACUACGAAGUUCCUCUCCUUCCCUGACAAACGCUUGCAUCUCUUCCUUCUGCUUUGAUUGGUAUCUUUCCAUUUGCAAGAGCUCUUUUUGCACAAAGAAUACAAUGAAUGUGAGUUGUCCAAAACUACGAAAGCUGCUGCCUUGUUCGUGGACAUUUAGAAACUAGAGGCUUCA
Non-coding RNA from Pogona vitticeps (central bearded dragon), 866 nucleotides. The record is from RefSeq and is a predicted model, not a curated record. Lineage: Eukaryota; Metazoa; Chordata; Lepidosauria; Squamata; Agamidae.